CCCCUAGAUGUUCUGGGCCGCACGCGCGCUACACUGAUGCAUGCAACGAGUUCUAUCCUUGGCCGGAAGGCCUGGGUAAUCUGUGAACGUGCAUCGUGAUAGGGAUAGAUUAUUGCAAUUAUUAAUCUUGAACGAGGAAUUCCCAGUAAGCGCAAGUCAUAAGCUUGCGUUGAUUACGUCCCUGCCCUUUGUACACACCGCCCGUCGCUACUACCGAUUGAACGUUUUAGUGAGGUAUUUGGACUGGACCUUCGGAGGUUCGCGCCUCCGUUGCUGUUCGGGAAGACUCCCAAACUUGAGCGUUUAGAGGAAGUAAAANUCGUAACA
Molecule: ribosomal RNA, 327 nt
Filed under: uncultured eukaryote
Lineage: Eukaryota
Description: partial 18S ribosomal RNA
Rfam family: Eukaryotic small subunit ribosomal RNA
Source: RNAcentral